CACUCCCCGAUGUGUUGCAUGGUUGUCGUCAGCUCGUGCCGUGAGGUGUCGGCUUAAGUGCCAUAACGAGCGCAACCCCCGCGUGCAGUUGCUAACAGGUGGCGCUGAGGACUCUGCACGGACUGCCGGCGCAAGCCGCGAGGAAGGCGGGGAUGACGUCAAAUCAGCACGGCCCUUACGUCCGGGGCGACACACGUGUUACAAUGGGUGGUACAGCGGGAAGCCAGGCGGCGACGCCGAGCGGAACCCGAAAUCCACUCUCAGUUCGGAUCGGAGUCUGCAACCCGACUCCGUGAAGCUGGAUUCGCUAGUAAUCGCGCAUCAGCCAUGGCGCGGUGAAUACGUUCCCGGGCCUUGUACACACCGCCCGUCAAGCCAUGGGAGCCGAGGGCGCUUGAAGUGCGUCGCCGCGAGGCGCGCCCUAGAGCGAAAUCGGUGACUGGGGCUAAGUCGUAACAAGGUAGCCGUAAGGGCGAAU
This 478-nucleotide ribosomal RNA is filed under the name uncultured bacterium. RNAcentral's name for it is "bacterial SSU rRNA". It matches the Rfam family "Bacterial small subunit ribosomal RNA", at positions 1027 to 1512 of the family's 1533-position model. The record is from RNAcentral.